This 253-nucleotide ribosomal RNA is filed under the name uncultured bacterium. Its description in RNAcentral is "partial 16S ribosomal RNA". It matches the Rfam family "Bacterial small subunit ribosomal RNA", at positions 524 to 776 of the family's 1533-position model. The record is from RNAcentral.
UACGUAGGUGGCAAGCGUUGUCCGGAUUUACUGGGCGCAAAGAGCGCGCAGGCGGUCGUUUAAGUCGAAUGUGAAAGCCCCCGGCUCAACUGGGGAGGGUCAUUCGAUACUGAUCGACUUGAAGGCAGGAGAGGGAAGUGGAAUUCCGGGUGUAGUGGUGAAAUGCGUAGAUAUCCGGAGGAACACCAGUGGCGAAGGCGACUUCCUGGCCUGUUCUUGACGCUGAGGCGCGAAAGCUGGGGGAGCAAACGGG